CCUAGUUUAAAUUAAAAAAAAUGUUUGGGCAAAUUGUGGACGGCCCGAGUAAAAUAAUAUUAACAGGACCGAAUGAACAACCUUUGAGUCUGUAAUUUAAAAAUAUAAAAACUCUUAGCGUGAGGGCAAAGUUAUGCUGAAAGCCAUAAGCGACCAAUACGCGAAGAAGGUUUUCCUUUCUCGUAUUCGGAAAAUGGUACGACAGGCCAAGGCAACUAAAUAAACUGAAGUCUCCAGAGGUCCGUUGUGCUGGGCAAGUAGUGUAGAGACACGGCGCAGAUAUUCAUAGAACUCAAAGUAACCUGGAAAUGUAACCCAAAGGGAUACGUCUUCAUUCGAUUAAAUUCCCUCAGGAAUAAACCACGGCCUUUUUGCAAGCUAUUGCCGUAUGUAAAUGCUUUACUUCGUGUUAUUGGCAGUGGGUUAAUGUUUUCGCUUACUCAUACAUACUUCCUUCGAGUCAACGUACCCGCUCAAUAAUACAUAACGUAAUUUGUUUCCAUCUAAAAGUCAAGUUCAAGUUUAGCUUUAAUCAGCACGUAAUUUUAAUAGAAUUUUUUAUGUCCUGUUGAGAAUUACCACACGUUUGGGAGCUCCGGGUAAACACUUUCCAACUAUAAAAACCCCGCAUUUCCACACUUGAAUCAUUCAAUUUUUAUCGUAUACAAAAUGAGGCACUUUUUAAUCUUAUCUCUCUUGUUUGUGCUCGCAGUUGUAGUGGCCCCUUACUGCCUCCCAAAUUGCGGACUGAUGCCAUUCCAAUAUGUUCCCUUAAAAGCCAAACUCAAAGCUAAACUUUGUGCCAAAUUCUGUGGAGCUAUGACUCCCGCGCAAACCAUUUGGUGGGCGUAAAUUACACUAGUUUAAUAUGUUACUGUAAAUUACUUAUUUUUAAUAAUAAAUAUAUUAUAUUAA
Molecule: long non-coding RNA, 915 nt
Organism: Tribolium castaneum (red flour beetle)
Lineage: Eukaryota; Metazoa; Arthropoda; Insecta; Coleoptera; Tenebrionidae
Exons: 2
Source: RefSeq, a predicted model, not a curated record